RNAcentral lists this ribosomal RNA (497 nucleotides) under uncultured bacterium. RNAcentral describes it as "partial 16S ribosomal RNA". It matches the Rfam family "Bacterial small subunit ribosomal RNA", at positions 28 to 507 of the family's 1533-position model. The record is from RNAcentral.
GACGAACGCUGGCGGCGUGCCUAAUACAUGCAAGUUGAGCGCUGAAGGUUGGUACUUGUACCAACUGGAUGAGCAGCGAACGGGUGAGUAACGCGUGGGGAAUCUGCCUUUGAGCGGGGGACAACAUUUGGAAACGAAUGCUAAUACCGCAUAAAAACUUUAAACACAAGUUUUAAGUUUGAAAGAUGCAGUUGCAUCACUCAAAGAUGAUCCCGCGUUGUAUUAGCUAGUUGGUGAGGUAAAGGCUCACCAAGGCGAUGAUACAUAGCCGACCUGAGAGGGUGAUCGGCCACAUUGGGACUGAGACACGGCCCAAGCUCCUACGGGAGGCAGCAGUAGGGAAUCUUCGGCAAUGGACGAAAGUCUGACCGAGCAACGCCGCGUGAGUGAAGAAGGGUUUCGGAUCGUAAAACUCUGUUGGUAGAGAAGAACGUUGGUGAGAGUGGAAAGCUCAUCAAGUGACGGUAACUACCCAGAAAGGGACGGCUAACUACGUG